This 226-nucleotide long non-coding RNA is filed under the name Mytilus galloprovincialis (Mediterranean mussel). The record is from RNAcentral. Lineage: Eukaryota; Metazoa; Mollusca; Bivalvia; Mytilida; Mytilidae.
CGGAAUAAAACUAAAACGUUUCUUCAGUGUCAACAAAGAAUUAAAUUGUCAUAAAAACCUGAUGCUUGGGGCCCUUUCAAACUUUCAGUGAUACGUUUUUUUUUUGCUCCAUUUUGAAAAGUCUCACUGUGGACUUUGAGAUGAAGAACAGAAAUAAAAGCGCUUUUCCUUUGCUUUAUGUGAGCUUGUUGCUGUAUUGGUUUGCGCCAUGGAUGUAUACCCCACA